UACGAAGGGGGCUAGCGUUGUUCGGAAUCACUGGGCGUAAAGGGCGCGUAGGCGGCCGAUCAAGUCGGGGGUGAAAGCCUGUGGCUCAACCACAGAAUUGCCUUCGAUACUGUUUGGCUAGAGACCGGAAGAGGUUAGUGGAACUGCGAGUGUAGAGGUGAAAUUCGUAGAUAUUCGCAAGAACACCAGUGGCGAAGGCGGCUAACUGGUCCGGUUCUGACGCUGAGGCGCGAAAGCGUGGGGAGCAAACAGG
RNAcentral lists this ribosomal RNA (253 nucleotides) under uncultured bacterium. Its description in RNAcentral is "partial 16S ribosomal RNA". It matches the Rfam family "Bacterial small subunit ribosomal RNA", at positions 524 to 776 of the family's 1533-position model. The record is from RNAcentral.